GGGUCGUUAGCUCAGUCGGUAGAGCAGCGGACUUUUAAUCCGUUGGUCACUGGUUCGAAUCCAGUACGGCCUACCA
This 76-nucleotide transfer RNA is filed under the name Zoogloeaceae bacterium. RNAcentral describes it as "tRNA-Lys". It matches the Rfam family "tRNA". From Rfam's summary of the family: Transfer RNA (tRNA) molecules are approximately 80 nucleotides in length. Their secondary structure includes four short double-helical elements and three loops (D, anti-codon, and T loops). Further hydrogen bonds mediate the characteristic L-shaped molecular structure. tRNAs have two regions of fundamental functional importance: the anti-codon, which is responsible for specific mRNA codon recognition, and the 3' end, to which the tRNAs corresponding amino acid is attached (by aminoacyl-tRNA synthetases). tRNAs cope with the degeneracy of the genetic code in two manners: having more than one tRNA (with a specific anti-codon) for a particular amino acid; and 'wobble' base-pairing, i.e. permitting non-standard base-pairing at the 3rd anti-codon position. Lineage: Bacteria; Pseudomonadati; Pseudomonadota; Betaproteobacteria; Rhodocyclales; Zoogloeaceae. The record is from RNAcentral.